Molecule: long non-coding RNA, 613 nt
Filed under: Dasypus novemcinctus (nine-banded armadillo)
Lineage: Eukaryota; Metazoa; Chordata; Mammalia; Cingulata; Dasypodidae
Description: lncRNA (ENSDNOG00000049920.1)
Source: RNAcentral
CUCAUGCAGAAAGGUGAAUGUUUUACAACCAUACUGUGUGUUGAUGGCAGUGGGUCUUCUUCCAUUCCUGAUGAUUUCAAUUCUUCUUCUCAGUGCUUAAGGUGAAAGACACAGCAAAUGCAGAGGUGGAAGUGAAGAGGGGAAGAGGAGGACAAAAUUAGCCUUUGGAUGUUGACCAAGAAUCCUGAUGGUGGUUACUUGCCAGACUACUGCACACACCCCAACUGGCACCUAAUGGAAUGGAGAGAAAGGGCAACUUCAUUUCUGACUCCUCUGGCUUUGGCUGAAAAUCAAGAUGCUGUAAUAGCACGAGUCUUAGACAAACUUAGACAAGACCAUGCUUUACCCUGUGGACUUCCCCAGUAAUCUUCAAGCGGCGUCCUGUAUAACUUAUUUUUAAAACUUUAACAAAUGGCUGCAGUGAACUUAUAAUGACUAAAUAUAACUGAAAGGAGGCUUAAGAAUUCUGAAGGACAAAGAAAACGUAACAUAACUUGAAUCUUCUGCUUACAAUCUUUUCAGGUUAGUUUCCGUUUUGUUUCUUGAAAUAACAUCAAAGAAGGUUUCCUAGAAAAGAAAACAAUAAAGCUGAGCCUAGAAGGAUGACAAAGAU